Molecule: ribosomal RNA, 478 nt
Filed under: uncultured organism
Description: partial 16S ribosomal RNA
Rfam family: Bacterial small subunit ribosomal RNA
Source: RNAcentral
UACACUCCUGCGGGAGGCAGCAGUGGGGAAUUUUGGACAAUGGGCGAAAGCCUGAUCCAGCAAUGCCGCGUGAGUGAAGAAGGCCUUCGGGUUGUAAAGCUCUUUUGUCAGGGAAGAAACGGUGAGAGCUAAUAUCUUUUGCUAAUGACGGUACCUGAAGAAUAAGCACCGGCUAACUACGUGCCAGCAGCCGCGGUAAUACGUAGGGUGCAAGCGUUAAUCGGAAUUACUGGGCGUAAAGCGUGCGCAGGCGGUUUUGUAAGUCUGAUGUGAAAUCCCCGGGCUCAACCUGGGAAUUGCAUUGGAGACUGCAAGGCUAGAAUCUGGCAGAGGGGGGUAGAAUUCCACGUGUAGCAGUGAAAUGCGUAGAUAUGUGGAGGAACACCGAUGGCGAAGGCAGCCCCCUGGGUCAAGAUUGACGCUCAUGCACGAAAGCGUGGGGAGCAAACAGGAUUAGAUACCCCAGUAGUCCCAUGAU